CUCAGGAAUAUUAUAUUUUAUUCUCUUUCCUGAUCUAAGAAUUGAUUUUUACUUUAGAUUCAUAAUGCCAAGAAGGAAUUUCCUAAGGAAAACAUUCAAGAAGAAUCUGGACACUAAUAUUUCCCAAGAUAUGAGACAAGCCCUUUAAGCUGAAGUUUAUAAAACAUGCAUCUAUAUUCAAUAUGGAAUCCUCAAAAUCAAGCUUAAUCCCUUUAAAGAAAUAUGAUGACACCAUCAAAGACAAAUUAUUGCCCAUUUUUGGAGGAAAAAAAAAUCACAAAUGAAAGAAAACUGUAACUUUGAGGUUGAAGGAUUCGCAGGCUGCUUACCCGUGCUCCUUCAGUUUCAGAAGAAAGAGCAUCAUUGGCUGAUUAUUUUCUCAGGAAAGACACACAGAGAAGUCCUGAAAGAGACCCACUUCCUACUCUCAAAGCAAAACAAGUCACACUGUGUGGAGGCAGAAAAAGUGGGAAACUAGCUUGUUGUGAUUGAGCUGAAAUGGAGAACCCACAAGAACGCUCAGGAAGAGAGAGGAGAGAGAAACAAGUGGAGUUGGUAGGGAACUCUGAGAGCUGGUCCGUGCCCAGGUCAGCAGGGAGGAAGUGGGUACAGGUAAAGGCACAAAUGCAAGGUGGCCCCAGAUCUGUGUGCUGGCCUGUUCUCAGCUGAGGAAGUUGCUAAAUUUGUUUAUCCCUUUCCUUAAACAAUAUGUGCAUGCAUACUAACCAGGCUUCCUGAAGGUCAGUGGAACACAGGACAUUUUUCUGUGUGGUCUUUGCAUUUAUUUAAAAAAUGAUAGCAGGGGACACGGGAGCCUUGAGUUCUGGGGAUGCAUAGAGCACACAGCACCUGACCAAUGGGGAGAGGAGACUGCCCACCUCUACAGGUUCUGCUGUGGUCUGAAAAGGACAUUCCCACACACACGUGAGCAUUCAAGUCCUGGGUCCUGUGGGGAAAGACUUCAGAACUGUUCUUGGACAGAAUUUAACUGGACAGAUUGAGUCAUAUCACAGCAAAAAUGUCCUUCCAGCUUCACUUAGACCGUUCCACAAUUCCCAGCCUUCUUGAAAAGAAUGACAUGGACACAUCAUUGUGAGAUAUCUUCUCUUUAUAAAUCUUUAGACACAUUGGGCUUUGGAAAAACAACAUUGGUAGCAACACGCGAUUCAGAUUGUUAACGUACGAUGUCUCUCAGUUACAGCUGUCUAAAUUUGAGGUAGUCUACUUGGUUUUCUACUCAAACAACCCCAUGUACUUGCUGAUAAAAUCUCCAUUUCUUGCAUUUUCAAAUUUAUGCUUUCACUCUGGAUUUUCGCUAAUUAACUCACUUAUGAGUAUAUAUUUUAAAAAUAAUUACUCAGACCCUAUUUUGUAUCAAAAUGUCCUAGGUACAUGAACACAAUAAAUACUAUGAUUGAAUUUUAUAGUACAUAUUAUGGGAUAUAUUGUGAUGGUAUGAUUCAUAAGAUUGUUUCCCAGUGAUGUUGUGGUGGUCUUAGUUUAAAUACACUCCUCUGUCUUCUAGCAAUGAUACUCUUACUUAACAAUGCACUUCUCAGAAAUGUAUAUCCCUUUCCUUAAACAAUAUGUGCAUGCAUACUAACCAGAACAUGGUAUGAUCUCCACAGAAAUUAGGAAUAUCUGUAAAAAGCACAUUAUCUGCAAUAAAAUAUGUAAGUGAAAUGGAACAGAAGGCUUGAAACUAAUCUGCAGGUUACCACACAGCAACUUUUAAAUGCGCUUCUUGAAAUAUAUAUUUCAACAACUCAUUAAACAAAUUUAGCAAAAGCAUCUGCCCAACUGUGGCAGAUCCGUUGCAUGUGGAAAGCAGGCUUGAGAUCUGUGACAUAAGGUGACAUAGCAACAGCCAGAGCUGCGUCGCACAUUUGCUGUGUUUGUACUGCGCUCCACGGCCAGUUCUGCAUUUCACACACAGGGUGUCAUUCUAUCCGCACGGCAAUCCCAAGAACAAGGCACAAGCCUAGGAUAGAAACGAGGCAAGGAGCGCUUUCAAAGGUGAACUGGCUGGCUUAAAAUCCUGAGCCGGAAAGUGUCAGCGCCCGGUGAAAAUUCAGUUCUCUCUGACCCCAGUUCUCACUUUUCUUGACACAGAGUAUAACCAAACUCUGACCUCACUCAUUUAAAAUAAAAGUCAAUGAAGAAGAAAUACCACGGAAACACCGCCAGUGUCUUUACACCAUAGUUUUUGUAAAUAAUAUGAUUUCCAUGUGUAUAUGCUUUGAUAUCUGAAAUGUAAUGCAUAUCCUUUAAUUUUUCUAUAAAUUAUUUAUCAUUAAUCUAGUGAACUAAAUUUUCACCAUCUUUCAGCAAUUUAUGCAUCAAAUUCUGAAUAUAAUUUUUUAGUUUUUAAGAAAUAACCAUUUAGUCAAAACAAAAUUUGUAAAACUCUGAAAUCUGGCUUGUGCAUUUAUAUACAAAUAAAAAUGCCUUCUUGUCAAAAUAAUAUAUACUUCAUGAUAAAAUUAGAAGAUAACAUAUUUUAAUCAUCCCAA
Long non-coding RNA from Chinchilla lanigera (long-tailed chinchilla), 2513 nucleotides. The record is from Ensembl. NCBI's taxonomy places the organism in Eukaryota, Metazoa, Chordata, Mammalia, Rodentia, Chinchillidae.